This 202-nucleotide microRNA precursor is filed under the name Oryza sativa Indica Group (long-grained rice). RNAcentral's name for it is "MIR812 microRNA precursor family". It matches the Rfam family "MIR812 microRNA precursor family". The record is from Rfam by way of RNAcentral. Lineage: Eukaryota; Viridiplantae; Streptophyta; Magnoliopsida; Poales; Poaceae.
AAUAAGUGCAGUCGUGAAUAUCCGUGUCCAACAUUUGACCGUCCGUCUUAUUUGAAAAUUUAUUAAAAAUUUAAAAAUAUUUAGUCACACAUAAAGUAAUAUUCAUGUUUUAUCAUCUAAUAGUAAUAAAAAUAUUAAUCAUAAAAUUUUUUUAAAUAAGACGAAUGGUCCAAAACUAUAUUUAUUUUGGGACGGAGGGAGU